GGGGGUAUAGCUCAGUGGUAGAGCAUUUGAUUGCUGCUCAAGAGGUCUCCAGUUCAAAUCUGGGUGCCCCCU
This 72-nucleotide transfer RNA is filed under the name Alligator mississippiensis (American alligator). RNAcentral's name for it is "tRNA-Ser (GCT) (tRNA-Ser-GCT-5-1)". It matches the Rfam family "tRNA". Rfam says of the family: Transfer RNA (tRNA) molecules are approximately 80 nucleotides in length. Their secondary structure includes four short double-helical elements and three loops (D, anti-codon, and T loops). Further hydrogen bonds mediate the characteristic L-shaped molecular structure. tRNAs have two regions of fundamental functional importance: the anti-codon, which is responsible for specific mRNA codon recognition, and the 3' end, to which the tRNAs corresponding amino acid is attached (by aminoacyl-tRNA synthetases). tRNAs cope with the degeneracy of the genetic code in two manners: having more than one tRNA (with a specific anti-codon) for a particular amino acid; and 'wobble' base-pairing, i.e. permitting non-standard base-pairing at the 3rd anti-codon position. The record is from Rfam by way of RNAcentral. Lineage: Eukaryota; Metazoa; Chordata; Crocodylia; Alligatoridae.